RNAcentral lists this ribosomal RNA (799 nucleotides) under uncultured Glomus. Its description in RNAcentral is "SSU rRNA". It matches the Rfam family "Eukaryotic small subunit ribosomal RNA", at positions 314 to 1114 of the family's 1831-position model. Lineage: Eukaryota; Fungi; Glomeromycota; Glomeromycetes; Glomerales; Glomeraceae. The record is from RNAcentral.
AUCAACUUUCGAUGGUAGGAUAGAGGCCUACCAUGGUGGUAACGGGUAACGGGGUGUUAGGGCACGACACCGGAGAGGGAGCCUGAGAAACGGCUACCACAUCCAAGGAUGGCAGCAGGCGCGCAAAUUACCCAAUCCCGACACGGGGAGGUAGUGACAAUAAAUAACAAUACGGGGUUCUUUCGGAUCUCGUAAUUGGAAUGAGUACAAUUUAAAUCUCUUAACGAGGAACAAUUGGAGGGCAAGUCUGGUGCCAGCAGCCGCGGUAAUUCCAGCUCCAAUAGCGUAUAUUAAAGUUGUUGCAGUUAAAAAGCUCGUAGUUGAAUUUCGGGGUUAGUAGGUUGGUCAUGCCUCUGGUAUGUACUGGUCUCACUGAUUCCUCCUUCCUGAUGAACCGUAAUGCCAUUAAUUUGGUGUUGCGGGGAAUUUGGACCGUUACUUUGAAAAAAUUAGAGUGUUUAAAGCAAGCUAACGCUUGAAUACAUUAGCAUGGAAUAAUGAAAUAGGACGUUCGAUCCUAUUUUGUUGGUUUCUAGGAUUGACGUAAUGAUUAAUAGGGAUAGUUGGGGGCAUUAGCAUUCAAUUGUCAGAGGUGAAAUUCUUGGAUUUAUUGAAGACUAACUACUGCGAAAGCAUUUGCCAAGGAUGUUUUCAUUAAUCAAGAACGAAAGUUAGGGGAUCGAAGACGAUCAGAUACCGUCGUAGUCUUAACCAUAAACUAUGCCGACUAGGGAUCGGAUGAUGUUAAUUUUUUAAUGACUCAUUCGGCGCCUUACGGGAAACCAAAGUGUUUGGGUUC